RNAcentral lists this ribosomal RNA (100 nucleotides) under Salmonella enterica. The record is from RNAcentral. Lineage: Bacteria; Pseudomonadati; Pseudomonadota; Gammaproteobacteria; Enterobacterales; Enterobacteriaceae.
CGGUGGUCCCACCUGACCCCAUACCGAACUCAGAAGUGAAACGCCGUAGCGCCGAUGGUAGUGUGGGGUCUCCCCAUGCGAGAGUAGGGAACUGCCAGGC